Molecule: transfer RNA, 75 nt
Filed under: Listeria monocytogenes HCC23
Lineage: Bacteria; Bacillati; Bacillota; Bacilli; Caryophanales; Listeriaceae
Description: tRNA-Ile (GAT) (tRNA-Ile-GAT-2-1)
Rfam family: tRNA
About the family: Transfer RNA (tRNA) molecules are approximately 80 nucleotides in length. Their secondary structure includes four short double-helical elements and three loops (D, anti-codon, and T loops).
Source: RNAcentral
GGGCCUAUAGCUCAGCUGGUUAGAGCGCACGCCUGAUAAGCGUGAGGUCGAUGGUUCGAGUCCCAUUUAGGCCCA